UACGGAGGGUGCAAGCGUUAUCCGGAUUUACUGGGUUUAAAGGGUGCGCAGGCGGAUAUGUAAGUCAGUGGUGAAAUCUCCGGGCUUAACCCGGAAACUGCCGUUGAUACUAUAUAUCUUGAAUGCUGUGGAGGUAAGCAGAAUAUGUCAUGUAGCGGUGAAAUGCUUAGAGAUGACAUAGAAUACCUAUUGCGAAGGCAGCUUACUACGGAUAUAUUGACACUGAGGCUCGAAAGCGUGGGGAUCAAACAGG
Molecule: ribosomal RNA, 253 nt
Filed under: uncultured bacterium
Lineage: Bacteria
Description: partial 16S ribosomal RNA
Rfam family: Bacterial small subunit ribosomal RNA
Source: RNAcentral